UACGUAGGUGGCAAGCGUUGUCCGGAUUUACUGGGCGUAAAGAGCGCGCAGGCGGUCGUUCAAGUCGCGUGUGAAAGCCCCCGGCUCAACUGGGGAGGGUCAUUCGAUACUGAUCGACUCGAAGGCAGGAGAGGGAAGUGGAAUUCCCGGUGUAGUGGUGAAAUGCGUAGAUAUCGGGAGGAACACCAGUGGCGAAGGCGACUUCCUGGCCUGUUCUUGACGCUGAGGCGCGAAAGCCAGGGGAGCAAACGGG
This 253-nucleotide ribosomal RNA is filed under the name uncultured bacterium. RNAcentral's name for it is "partial 16S ribosomal RNA". It matches the Rfam family "Bacterial small subunit ribosomal RNA", at positions 524 to 776 of the family's 1533-position model. The record is from RNAcentral.